GGUAUUAGCGAGCGCCAUUGGCAUUGAUGUGCAGAAAAACGGCAUGUGUAUUCGAGACCAUGCAUUUCUAACGCCUGUUACCCUCUCACAAGUUGUUCAGGUUCCUUGAAUGUGGCACUUAAUAAACCAACAAGGCAAAGUUCAACGUACUAUGGCGUUUCAGAUAAAGUUGUAGAUGGUAAUACUAAUCAGGAUUGGUCUGGGGGAAGUUGUACACAGACUGAUGACGAUAGAGCAACAGAAUGGUUGUGUGUCGAUCUAAAACAGAGUUUUGAUAUCAGUAGUGUGAAGAUAUUUAACAUAUUAGAUGACGAUACUGACACAAUGAUAGAAUUUGAGAUUGGAUUGAGUUCUACUGGUAAAUGUGAUGAAGCAGGUUUUAGAUCAGCUACACCAUGUUAUAAAGACCACACGUCAAAAGGACAAUCUGUAUAUACCAUAGAGAGAUGUAAUCAACCACCUGUACCAUCAUUAUCGGCUAGAUAUGUUUUUGUUUCAACACAUAAAUAUUUGACGUUAUGUGAAGUACAAAUAUUCACAGAAAAUUGUCCUGAUGGAUUUUACGGUACCGAUUGUAACAUUAGAUGUCCAGCGAAUUGUACAAACAACGUCUGUGAGAAAAUGUCAGGAUCAUGUUCUAAUGGCUGUCAAGGAGAUCUUUAUGGUAAAUUCUGUGAGUCUUCAUGCAACACCAGAUGUAAGAAUGGUAAAUGUAAUGCUAGAACUGGGAAAUGCACCGGAUGUAAAGAUGGUUACUAUGGUGAUGUGUGUGAAGAAUCAUGUUCUACCUGUAAUGGUCCAUGUCGACAAUUAGAUGGUGUUUGUUUGACUGGAUGUAAAGAUGGAUAUUGGGGAUGUAAUGGUUUGUGUCUACAGACAUGUUCCUACUGUAAUACAGGAGGCUGUAGAAUAGAAGAUGGCGUAUGUCAUAAUGGUUGUCAAGUUGGUUUCUGCAAUCCGAAAUGCUUCAAUAGAACAAGUCCUUGAAAUUAACCCGAGCAGGCCAUUACCAAGAAAUGAGGGAGGUGAUAAGAAAAUCAACAAUGGUGAAAAACGAAGGAAAAAUAAACAGCUUUAUUGUGAAAAUACAUGUUUCAGUAUUUCAAAUAAAUUUAAUAAGCAUAUACAUGUAAAGUAGAAAUUAUGGCCCAAUUAAAGACUUUGCGACUGGUGGGUAUAAAAUAGAAGUUGGUUAUGAAAAUAUCCCAUGUUUUUGUUUAAUUUUUACUGGUUUUUGUUCUUGCAUUCAAUCAAUAUGAUUAUAUUUAAAGGGAUAAUAACACUCUUGCUGGCUUGAAAUCUCCAGAAAAUAUAUAAUAUCUCUAUCUAAGUACUAGAUGUUUAACUGUCCUACCUGUUGUGUAAAUUAUCCAUUACAUCCUAUUUUACUUGUCCAGAGGGUUCGAAAAUAAUUUUAAAUCGAAGUUUCAUUUGAAAAGGUUUACGUUAGACGUUUCAAACCAUUAUGUUGAAUUUUUCAAAAUUUUUAAAUAAGGUGUGUUAAGAUGAAAUUUGUAUCAUCAAUUAAUUGAAAUAUUCUAAAAUAGCACAAUUUGUUGACCAGAAUAAAGAUUGGGACAUAUUAUUCAGUUACAACAAGAGUGGUAUUGAGCCUUUAAAUACUACGACAAUUUUCUGCACUUAUUGUAUAUUACUGUGAAUACAAUUUAAAUUUUAAGACUUUUAUAACAUAAAUUAAAACGCUUAUCUGAAUAAAA
Patella vulgata (common limpet) is the source of this 1718-nucleotide long non-coding RNA. RefSeq lists it as uncharacterized. Lineage: Eukaryota; Metazoa; Mollusca; Gastropoda; Patellidae. The transcript is spliced from 5 exons. The record is from RefSeq and is a predicted model, not a curated record.